GGGUCAAGUACUUAUUCUUUGAGAGAAGGGUCAAAGGGGCAUACAUUUCUACGACCUGGGCAAAUAGUGCAUAGGAGGAUAAUGGACGGUGAUACUGUUUUCAUUAACAGGCCACCCACAACACAUAAGCACUCCCUCCAAGCCUUAUCAGUGUAUGUCCAUGAUGAUCAUACUGUGAAGAUCAACCCACUUAUGUGCGGCCCCCUUAGCGCUGAUUUUGAUGGGGACUGCAUUCAUUUGUUUUACCCUCAGUCCCUUUCUGCCAAAGCAGAGGUUUUGGAGCUUUUUGCUGUUGGGAAAC
Molecule: unclassified non-coding RNA, 301 nt
Filed under: Hevea brasiliensis (rubber tree)
Lineage: Eukaryota; Viridiplantae; Streptophyta; Magnoliopsida; Malpighiales; Euphorbiaceae
Source: RNAcentral